GGGAGAAGAGGGGCGCUUUGCCCGCCGAGCGGCGAGGCUGCAGCCACGGGGUUUCUGCCUGCCGAUUGCCUCCCUCCCACGCCCCCGAGCCAUUGUUAGGAGGUGGAAAAUAGGAAUGCUUGCGGUGAUACUGAUGUUGGCAUACCGGUUCUCCACGUCACGCCUCCUCUACUCUAAAACAAAAGCAGUACCAAGUUUGCAGCCCUUGAAUCAACUGAAUGGGGGACCUUCAAACAGAACUGGAAAAAAAAACAGCUGCUAGAUAUUUCACUACCUGGCAAGCAAGAGCUAAAUUAGAAUCUGGAUUCUCUCCCCAUUUCUCACUCUGUUUAUAACUUGCUAAUUCACCUGCUAACCCCAAGGGACAUUUAAAAAAAAGCUUACAAGCAAGAUGUAAAUGCAGACUACGGAAAGAUUCCCACCAGAAAAUUCAAUGGAGUUUAAACCCAAAUAAUCUUAUUAUUUGAGCAUACUUAUAAAUAGCAUACUUAUUUAUAAAAUAUUAUCUGGAAUUCCUGGAAAAAGAUUUUGAUGCUCUGCUAAGAAACAUGAUGCUGGACCUACCACUUCAUUAAGACUAUGCAGAAGCCCAGGUUAAAGCCACAUAUUUCUGACAUCCUAAAGGUGCUUUUCAGGAGGCAACUGGACUUUCUUGUUUUUUCUUUGAAGACAUUUCGUUUCUUAUCCAAGAAGCUUCUUCAGCUCUGACUGGAUGGUGGGGAAGGAUUUAAGCGAAAUGUCCAGUUGCCUCCUGAAAAAACACCUUUGGGACAACCAUGACCUGGAUGACUGAGAAUCUUUACAGACUUUUAGCUAUGCAAUUUGGGAUGAAUUACCCUUUGAACGGUGUGGGAGUAUGAAUGGAUUUCCAGAAAAAAUGCAGGCUACAGGAACUCAGGUGACCCUGAGGACAUAGGUAAACCUCCAAGUGCUUCAACAACCCUGUAAAAGGAUGCAAGUGACCAGCUGUCUGCAAAGAAUAUAAAUCCUUCUAUUCCACACCAUCUGGUCAGAGCUGAAGAAACUUCUUGGAUUAGAAGUAAAAUGUCUUCAAAGAAAAAACAAGAAAGUCCAGUUGCCUCCUGAAAAAGCACCUUUGGGACAAUCAUGACCUGGAUGACUGAGAAUCUCUACAGACUAUUUCUGACAUGUUCUCUGAUAAAGGGCAAAUUGUUAAAAUAAAGCUGACAAAACUGCAGUCAAAUG
Molecule: long non-coding RNA, 1206 nt
Filed under: Naja naja (Indian cobra)
Lineage: Eukaryota; Metazoa; Chordata; Lepidosauria; Squamata; Elapidae
Description: lncRNA (ENSNNAG00000008471.1)
Source: RNAcentral